CUGGCUGAGAGUUUGGGUUUCAUUAUGAACAAAAUAUGGAGGACCCUCCAAAUAGAGAUAAUUAAAAGAUUUAUAAUAUGUUACAUGCUGUCCAACAACCAUUGUAAUCGAGAUGUAAUGACCACUCUGAGUUAUCUGUUACUGUUAGAUUAUUAAGCAUCAAACCUAAGGAGAAUAUUUUUCAAUGGUCAUUUGAUCAAAUGGUAGAACUUUUGAAAGAGACACAUCCACUCGAUAAUCUUUUUCUAUAGGACAAAGAAAUUGGUAUCUAAACUUGGCCUC
RNAcentral lists this long non-coding RNA (282 nucleotides) under Elaeis guineensis (African oil palm). RNAcentral describes it as "long non-coding RNA (EGUI_LNC042251)". The record is from RNAcentral. Lineage: Eukaryota; Viridiplantae; Streptophyta; Magnoliopsida; Arecales; Arecaceae.